UCCAGCAAUGGAAUACGAAUUUAUGGGUGAGAUAAUCCAUCCCACCAAUACGGGUUUCUAAAACGAUGGUACCUUGUAAAGAAGUUUGGCAACUUUGAGAGACGAAAAAUUAUGUCCGAAAAUUGCAGUACACUGCGUAUACUUUCGCGCGUUUGUUAUGGCGAAAUCCUACAUUAUUUGGCCCUGUCAAAGAAGUUUCGGUGGCAGCUCGCUGCAGUGUUCGCCCGUCUGUGAACGCCAAGUCCUCAGUGCUUUUCCCUCUCUCUCCCCUCCUUUUUCUCUCUCUCUCUAGAGCACCUCCACUCUCUAGGGCACCCAGCUCUCUUCCAUCCUCUCUCUAGAGCACCCUGCUACAACAAGUGAGAUCCAUAUCGUGCACAACGCAGUUCAAUCUUUAGAGGCUCAAUCUACAUCUGUUCAUUAGUCUACUGUGUUGGUGUUUUCGACAUCAUUAUCGUUGAAGCAGCAAGCUGCAUUGAUCCCUAGGAAGACUCGUGCAUUUCAUCACUCUCACUAAAUAGCAGCAAUGGAAUCUCCUUCGGAUUCGUGGAUGAGGGAGUUUAAUGAAGCAUCAAAGCUUGCAGAUGAUAUUAGUGUCAGGAUUGCAGAGAGGAGCUCUUUGCCCCCCUCAGGCCCUGAAACCCAGUGUCAUGUCUCAGCUAUUCGAAGGAAGAUUACGAUUCUUGGGACUCGACUUGAUAGCGUGGAUUCCCUGUUGGCCAAGCUCCCAGUAAACAACCCAUGCAUAGCACUUACAACAUGUGGAAGUGAUAUUGGUAUUGUGGAUCUCUUGCUAGACUAUUGAAGUUAUGUUCCGUAUUCUCUAGUGGGGAAAACUCGUCUAUUCAUGGUGACAGAGAAUUGUUUGUUCUUCAAUAUUUACUUAAUCCUCGUUUGAGGGGAGAAAAUAAAUAUUUCUGCUUUCCUUUAGGGGAAUGAAUCUUUCUGGGACAUGCAUAAGUGUGAUGGUUCUUGAAUGAUUGAAUUGGAAAUUGGAUCAUUUCGAACUUUCAUGAUUGAUAAUUCGUUCUUCAGAUAAGCAUAUUUUGAAAGUGUGAGUACCGAUCUCAAAUUUCCAGUGAUAGGAUGGUGUUAGGGGACAUGAUGGGGCCAAGACUUGUGGAGGCAGUCCAACUGCCAUUUAGGAGCUUGAAGGAGGUGGUCAAUGUUGUGUGGGAACUAAGCAAGAGCAGGUUGUGGUUGCUGGGGAUGCGAAUGCACAUAAAAGGAGGAACUCAAAUAUGUCUUCUGUUAAUGUUCUACCUGAGCUUUAUAUCAGUUGUUUGGAUCAGAAAGUGGGUUUAGUGUCAUGGAAUGCAACAACACUUAUAAUCUGCUGAUCCUUAUUGGUGGCUCCAUGCUUUUAUCUACUCAUAAGGGUAAGGUUUUUUGUAAUUUAAUGCAUGGCCCCAAGAUGACUGAUGAGGCCACCCUCAGCCUCAAGAGGUGGAAAAGCCAACUGGUUUAGCUUAGAAAGUAGCAUUCCCUUCCAUUGUUGUGUAAUAGCUACACCUCUAGGUGAUUGGGAAGGUCUGUGAAAGAGUUGAGAUAGUUUACUUGCCAGCAUGGAGAUUGUGGACAUGCAUUAUGACCUUGUAUGCAUUAAGUGGCUGAAAAUUAGUCAUGUUUGGUCAGAUUCCGCCAAAGCAAAUAAGCAAACUUCCAUAAAGGAUCUCAUCCUUAAACCAAGACACAAGGUUGAAUAAGUACCCAACAUGUUGCAAGAUUUUGGAGAACUGCUACAGCUGCACUUUAGGUUGCAUCAACAACUUAUGCGGCAUGCGAAACAUAUGACAGUAUCCCUUUUUAGCUUCUUAGAAGAAGUGGUUAGGGUAAACACUAGGUGUCCAUCACUGUUGGAGAACAUAUAGAGAAGUUCAUGGGAAAUUUGCGAGGUCUUAGAAUGCAUGGUGGUGAAGGCAUUAUUGAAGGCUACUGAAGUAGGUGGCUGAGGAAUUUGGGGAUACAUUUGUAAAUUGGAGACUGACAACAACGUUGAGAGAAAUCUAAGGUAAAGGCACAAGUUUAGAGGUUUUUUUCUUACUAUCGUGAAGCACUCUCAAACAAUACAUAGCCUUACCUGCAAAGCACUUCUUGUGCUUUGCAACAGGAACUCUCAGAAAAGAGCUUUUGCUACUGUUGGCUUGUUCAUAUAGGCUAGGCAGAAAUCAGUCCUUGUGGUGUCUGCUACGAUUGGUUUGCUCAGCGCUGGCUUUGCAACUGCAAACUUUUAAAGUAUUGCCUAGAGAGCAAAUAUCUUAUGAGGGUUUUGCCUUUUAUUGUUUGAGAGUGCUUUGCAAUGCCAGAAAGCACUUGCGAUAGAGUGCACUAUAACUUUUAAGGGAUAUGAUUAUUUUUAAAAAUAUAAAAUAGUGGUCUUUAGGGCGACAUUUGGAAAGAUUCUUUGAACUCAAGAUGGUUUUCGUGUUCCUACCAACGUAGGUAUGGAAUCCUCGUUAUGGAAAUUUAUUGAGCCACCCUUAAGAGAUGCAUUAUAUAACUUUUAUUCAUCUUUUUAUCCUAAAUACAAAAGGCCCUCAGCAGAUGUGCUAUAAGGGGUCAAGAAUGGGUAAAAUUAUUAGUGUAACAGUUCAAAUUUACCCCUCAACACGAAAGUAC
Molecule: non-coding RNA, 2619 nt
Organism: Amborella trichopoda
Lineage: Eukaryota; Viridiplantae; Streptophyta; Magnoliopsida; Amborellales; Amborellaceae
Source: RefSeq, a predicted model, not a curated record